AUCCAACUGACGAGUCCCAAAUGGGACGAAACGUGCAUCCUGGAU
Non-coding RNA from Schistosoma curassoni, 45 nucleotides. Lineage: Eukaryota; Metazoa; Platyhelminthes; Trematoda; Strigeidida; Schistosomatidae. The record is from Rfam.